UGAAAUGUGGAUUGAUUUGGAUAUGAUAGCCGUCCAGAGCCUUCAUAGGAUUGCAACCACGAUAAAAAAGUGCUAAAAACAUGCUU
This is a non-coding RNA of Parapedobacter luteus, 86 nucleotides long. The record is from Rfam. NCBI's taxonomy places the organism in Bacteria, Pseudomonadati, Bacteroidota, Sphingobacteriia, Sphingobacteriales, Sphingobacteriaceae.